Molecule: transfer RNA, 70 nt
Filed under: Eurypharynx pelecanoides (pelican eel)
Lineage: Eukaryota; Metazoa; Chordata; Actinopteri; Anguilliformes; Eurypharyngidae
Description: tRNA-Phe
Rfam family: tRNA
About the family: Transfer RNA (tRNA) molecules are approximately 80 nucleotides in length. Their secondary structure includes four short double-helical elements and three loops (D, anti-codon, and T loops).
Source: RNAcentral
AUUGGCGUAGCUUAAUGGAAAGCAUAACAUUGAAGAUGUUAAAAAAGAGCUUAAAUUUCUCUCACCAAUA